Molecule: long non-coding RNA, 1852 nt
Organism: Scylla paramamosain (green mud crab)
Lineage: Eukaryota; Metazoa; Arthropoda; Malacostraca; Decapoda; Portunidae
Exons: 3
Source: RefSeq, a predicted model, not a curated record
GGCACUGAUGCAUUUAUUAAUUAUGCCUUAAGUUUUUGUAAGAUAUUUAUUUAUUUAUGGAUGAGAUAUUUUACUAAUGGGUGUACUUAUGUCCUUGCUUAUCUCUGUCUCUCCCCGCAGGACUGCCAACCGGUAUGGUAUUUCACGGAAGAGAAACCAUAGAUUUACGAACUGGCGGCGGCGCUGCUGGCCAGAUCACGUGACGUCGCCCCCAAGAGACUGAGUCAAGUCCUACAGCCGCACUUCCACCGGGGUUCCUUCGGUAGAGUACAGGUGUGAUGAUUCUGCCUUCACCUGGCCCGCCCACGCCCGCAUCUUAUCCUUUAAUUAGUCCCCAGCCUGCCCUCCAGCACCUGCCCCUCAUCUCCUCUCACUUGUCCUUAUCUGGGUGCACCACUCGCCUUCUUAAUUUCAAACUUUAUUUUUGUAUAUCUACGUAUUUAUAUUUCGAGGCUGGAUACUUACCAUUUUCUUUCUAACUCAUAUGGAGUAACUCAAAUAUUAUGGACUUGGUCAACUAAACGAAGAUUCCUUGGGCUGAUGGAAUCUUCGGAAUGCUAAGUUGCCUCACUGCGUGUUUGUUCGCCUGUGCGAUGAUAUGGACAUGCAGUGAGGAGCUCAAAACACGAUAACAAGUCCAUAACACGUUGAGCGAGGUGAGAUUAGAUAGAGGGGCUGAUCCCACUAAUUAUGCAUUUUAUAUUCUUCAUAUUAUUUUUUAUCAUCACCAAUCAUUUAGUCUAUUUGCCACCACUUCGUAUGCCACCGUUUACUCUUGUACUCCCAUGUCCUCCCUUCACUCCUCAUCCAUACCCUUUCCUUAAAUUACCAUCAACCAUAACUUACUAUAUUCCCAAAGUUUAAUUAACUACUACCUGCCCGACUAUGUACUGUACUUCAUAUUACCACCUCCUCAUACAAUUAUGGUUGGAAAGUAGGAAAGAAAGUAACUAGGAAAAAGAACUGAGAGGAAGUCAUAAGACUAAAACUACCUGGAACACAUAAGGCUGGAGAACACAGGAAGGAAAAGAUAUGACUCUUUCUCCGCGUUACUUUUUUUUUCCUUCCUUCCUUUCUCCCUUCCUCACACUCAUAGCAUUCAUACAUCCUCCGUUAAAACUAUACUGCCACACGCACGCACCUUGUAUGUACCGUAUCAUAACCCCAAAAUCUAUCCCUUCUAUACCCUUUCCUCAAGAUCAUGGUGCCACACACACACACACACACACACACACACACUCUCUCUCUCUCUCUCUACCCCAGCAGCGCCUACUUCCAACCUUCACCAUCAUCACAACUCUAACAUCUAUAACUUUUCUCCCUGAUAUCAUCCACCUAUACCAACUUCCCCGUAAAGGAGAUAAGAUUAGCAAGAUUUAAGAGGUCCAUAAUGCCACCACUACGUCAAGGCCACACCAGGAAGACAAACCAAUAGACCUUCCUUCACUAAAGACCUUCAGCGUUGUCUGCGAGUUUUAUUACCCCCCGACCCCCUUCAUUCCAUAACUUGGUGUUGCUGCCCCACGUGUCAGGGAAGGUGGCAACCCCGGCCUGUGUGUCGUAUUGCAUCUGUGGUGGCUGGUGUAUUCCGUAUAUAUCCUUUAUAUUAUUAUGUAUGGUUGUAGCAUUUGGAAAUACACACAAGGAGGAUUUUACUUCCACGCUGCUUUCUCUUACAUCCUUUCUUCGUGAUGCUGUGAUGCUGUGAAGGUGCCACUGUGAGCUGCGAUUAAGUUCCCCCCCUGGACUUUUUUCCCUACGUGACAUUUUUCCCGUUGUAGAUUUCCACCACGGACAGUGUGUGUGUGUGUGUGUGUGUGUGUGUGUGUGUGUGUGUGUGUGUGUGUGUGUG